AGGCGCCACAGCCCCCGGGGAGAGGAGAGGGCGGCCGGAAGGUCUGCUCGGCAGAGCGCCCCCUGGCGCCCGGAGAGUGCUGCGCUCCGCGGCCCCGGCGCUGCGGGGCUCAGCCGGGGCAGGGCGCCCCGGGCCUCGGUGGGCGCAGGCCGAGCGGCGGGUCCCGCAGCACGGCUUACCGCCGGGGAGGAUAGCGCCAGCCGGCCCGGCAGUGCCUGUGUGUGGAGCUGACCUCGAGUGGCAGCAUUCAGAGACAGGCAAAAAGCUGCUUGGAUAAGAAUCUGCCCAGGUUGUGCUGAGGCGGUGGAGGAUGGGGGGGAAGGGGAGGAAGAAGGAGCUCAGCAUCCCGGAGGAGGCGAGUGAAGGGCAAAAUGGAAGAGGGAUGAAUGGCGCCACUGCCCUCAACUCCACCUUCUCCCGCCUACUGCCGGCUGCUGCCAGGCAGCCUCCCCCAGCAUCCCCCUCGCCCUCAGUCAGCCAAAGGGCAGCCACAGCGGAAGCAUUUUAAAAGCAAACCAAGUAUCACGUGGUGAAGGUAAAUAAACAGCACGCUGAAAAAUCA
This is a long non-coding RNA of Strigops habroptila (Kakapo), 562 nucleotides long. RefSeq lists it as uncharacterized. The record is from RefSeq and is a predicted model, not a curated record. NCBI's taxonomy places the organism in Eukaryota, Metazoa, Chordata, Aves, Psittaciformes, Psittacidae. The transcript has 3 exons.